AUUGAACGCUGGCGGCAUGCCUUACACAUGCAAGUCGAACGGCAGCAUGAUCUAGCUUGCUAGAUUGAUGGCGAGUGGCGAACGGGUGAGUAAUACAUCGGAACGUGCCCUGUAGUGGGGGAUAACUAGUCGAAAGAUUAGCUAAUACCGCAUACGACCUGAGGGUGAAAGUGGGGGACCGCAAGGCCUCAUGCUAUAGGAGCGGCCGAUGUCUGAUUAGCUAGUUGGUGAGGUAAAGGCUCACCAAGGCGACGAUCAGUAGCUGGUCUGAGAGGACGAUCAGCCACACUGGGACUGAGACACGGCCCAGACUCCUACGGGAGGCAGCAGUGGGGAAUUUUGGACAAUGGGCGAAAGCCUGAUCCAGCAAUGCCGCGUGUGUGAAGAAGGCCUUCGGGUUGUAAAGCACUUUUGUCCGGAAAGAAGUGGCUCUGGUUAAUACCUGGGGUCGAUGGCGGUACCGGAAGAAUAAGGACCGGCUAACUACGUG
Molecule: ribosomal RNA, 490 nt
Filed under: uncultured bacterium
Lineage: Bacteria
Description: partial 16S ribosomal RNA
Rfam family: Bacterial small subunit ribosomal RNA
Source: RNAcentral